GGAGUUGGUCAAGACAACCGCGUCGCGGCUUGCCGCGCCGAGGAAAGUCCGGGCUCCAUAGAGCAAAGUGCCAGGUAACGCCUGGGCGGCGCAAGCCGACGGCCAGUGCAACAGAAAAUAUACCGCCGAACGGCCCGCAAGGGCGCGUGGUAAGGUUGAAAUGGUGGGGUAAGAGCCCACCGCCUGCGGGGCUAACGCCGCAGGGCAGGGUAAACCCCACUUGGAGCAAGGCCAAAUAGGCAUGCUAUGAAUCGGCUCGGUUCGCAUGCGGGUGUGCUGCUUGAGUCUUGCCGCGAGGCAAGGCCUAGAGGAAUGGUUGUCCACGACAGAACCCGGCUUAUCGACCAACUCCGCCA
RNAcentral lists this RNase P RNA (356 nucleotides) under Arenimonas sp. Its description in RNAcentral is "RNase P RNA component class A". It matches the Rfam family "Bacterial RNase P class A". From Rfam's summary of the family: Ribonuclease P (RNase P) is a ubiquitous endoribonuclease, found in archaea, bacteria and eukarya as well as chloroplasts and mitochondria. Its best characterised activity is the generation of mature 5'-ends of tRNAs by cleaving the 5'-leader elements of precursor-tRNAs. Cellular RNase Ps are ribonucleoproteins. Lineage: Bacteria; Pseudomonadati; Pseudomonadota; Gammaproteobacteria; Lysobacterales; Lysobacteraceae. The record is from RNAcentral.